UACGGAGGGAGCUAGCGUUGUUCGGAAUUACUGGGCGUAAAGCGCACGUAGGCAGCUUUGUAAGUUAGAGGUGAAAGCCCGGGGCUCAACUCCGGAACUGCCUUUAAGACUGCAUCGCUUGAAUCCGGGAGAGGUGAGUGGAAUUCCGAGUGUAGAGGUGAAAUUCGUAGAUAUUCGGAAGAACACCAGUGGCGAAGGCGGCUCACUGGACCGGUAUUGACGCUGAGGUGCGAAAGCGUGGGGAGCAAACAGG
This 253-nucleotide ribosomal RNA is filed under the name uncultured bacterium. RNAcentral describes it as "partial 16S ribosomal RNA". It matches the Rfam family "Bacterial small subunit ribosomal RNA", at positions 524 to 776 of the family's 1533-position model. The record is from RNAcentral.